AUUGAACGCUGGCGGCAGGCUUAACACAUGCAAGUCGAGCGGGGGAAGGUAGCUUGCUACCGGACCUAGCGGCGGACGGGUGAGUAAUGCUUAGGAAUCUGCCUAUUAGUGGGGGACAACAUCUCGAAAGGGAUGCUAAUGCCGCAUACGUCCUACGGGAGAAAGCAGGGGAUCUUCGGACCUUGCGCUAAUAGAUGAGCCUAAGUCGGAUUAGCUAGUUGGUGGGGUAAAGGCCUACCAAGGCGACGAUCUGUAGCGGGCCUGAGAGGAUGAUCCGCCACAAUGGGACUGAGACACGGCCCAGACUCCUACGGGAGGCAGCAGUGGGGAAUAUUGGACAAUGGGGGGAACCCUGAUCCGGCCAUGCCGCGUGUGUGAAGAAGGCCUUAUGGUUGUAAAGCACUUUAAGCGAGGAGGAGGCUACUUUAGUUAAUACCUAGAGAUAGUGGACGUUACUCGCAGAAUAAGCACCGGCUAACUCUGUGCCAGCCGCCGCCGUAA
This 501-nucleotide ribosomal RNA is filed under the name uncultured bacterium. RNAcentral describes it as "partial 16S ribosomal RNA". It matches the Rfam family "Bacterial small subunit ribosomal RNA", at positions 30 to 523 of the family's 1533-position model. The record is from RNAcentral.